Molecule: ribosomal RNA, 500 nt
Filed under: uncultured bacterium
Lineage: Bacteria
Description: partial 16S ribosomal RNA
Rfam family: Bacterial small subunit ribosomal RNA
Source: RNAcentral
AUUGAACGCUGGCGGCAUGCCUUACACAUGCAAGUCGAACGGCAGCACGGGAGCAAUCCUGGUGGCGAGUGGCGAACGGGUGAGUAAAGUAUCGGAACGUGCCCAGUCGUGGGGGAUAACGUAGCGAAAGUUACGCUAAUACCGCAUACGAUCUAUGGAUGAAAGCGGGGGAUCGCAAGACCUCGCGCGAUUGGAGCGGCGGAUAUCAGAUUAGGUAGUUGGUGGGGUAAAGACUCACCAAGCCGACGAUCUGUAGCUGGUCUGAGAGGACGACCAGCCACACUGGGACUGAGACACGGCCCAGACUCCUACGGGAGGCAGCAGUGGGGAAUUUUGGACAAUGGGCGAAAGCCUGAUCCAGCCAUGCCGCGUGCAGGAUGAAGGCCUUCGGGUUGUAAACUGCUUUUGUACGGAACGAAAAGGUUUGGCCUAAUAAGCUGAGCUCAUGACGGUACUGUAAGAAUAAGCACCGGCUAACUACGUGCCAGCCGCCGCCGUAA